AAUGAGGUGACUGAGUAGGUGAAAGUAGCAGUGUGCUAAACUGUCGAGAUCGUGAAUCUUGUGUGGGUUCAAAUCCCAUUCUCAUUG
This 87-nucleotide transfer RNA is filed under the name Iotrochota birotulata (green finger sponge). RNAcentral's name for it is "tRNA-Ser". It matches the Rfam family "tRNA". From Rfam's summary of the family: Transfer RNA (tRNA) molecules are approximately 80 nucleotides in length. The record is from RNAcentral. Lineage: Eukaryota; Metazoa; Porifera; Demospongiae; Poecilosclerida; Iotrochotidae.